GAAAAGUAAUCAUUUUUUCGAAGUGAAAAAAGUUUGAGUAUAUCAUGAUAAACAAAUUGUCAAAAAAUAAGUACUACUACAUGAUAACAAAAUUCAAUUACGUAAAAUACUUUUAUUAUUUUGAAUAAUUUUUUUUCUCUUUUAUUAUUAUCCUUUUAAGUUAGUAGUUAUUUGAUUGCUUUAAAAAUAUUAAUAGAAUGAUAGUUGAUUAAGUAUUUUGAUCAAUUGUUGAUCAAGUAUUUUGAUCAAUUGAUUAAAAUAGUUUAAAAGAAUGUUUU
This 278-nucleotide long non-coding RNA is filed under the name Lathyrus oleraceus (garden pea). Its description in RNAcentral is "Pisum sativum (pea) long non-coding RNA (PSAT_LNC010311)". Lineage: Eukaryota; Viridiplantae; Streptophyta; Magnoliopsida; Fabales; Fabaceae. The record is from RNAcentral.